UGAAAAUUAAAAAAAUCCCACCUGCGCUUUCUCAAUGAAAUUUUUACAGUGUGUUGUACUACUUUUGGGACAAAUUAUAUCAAAAUUAUAGAAAACUUCAUCUGCUCUAACUCAAAAUAUGGACAAUUUUAUGUUUAGGGCGUCUUGAAAUUUUUUGACUUCCGAAGUGCUAAUUUGCAACCUUUUUCAGCUGGACCAAAUCACUACUUUCCUUUAAAAUUCUGAACCCAAAUUUUUUUACAGUGUAAUUUCACCC
RNAcentral lists this long non-coding RNA (256 nucleotides) under Mytilus galloprovincialis (Mediterranean mussel). Lineage: Eukaryota; Metazoa; Mollusca; Bivalvia; Mytilida; Mytilidae. The record is from RNAcentral.